AAGCCUGGGAAACUGGGUCUAAUACCGGAUAUGACCGACUGUCGCAUGGUGGUUGGUGGAAAGCUUUUGCGGUGUGGGAUGGGCCCGCGGCCUAUCAGCUUGUUGGUGGGGUAAUGGCCUACCAAGGCGACGACGGGUAGCCGACCUGAGAGGGUGAUCGGCCACACUGGGACUGAGACACGGCCCAGACUCCUACGGGAGGCAGCAGUGGGGAAUAUUGCACAAUGGGCGCAAGCCUGAUGCAGCGACGCCGCGUGAGGGAUGACGGCCUUCGGGUUGUAAACCUCUUUCACCAGGGACGAAGCGUGAGUGACGGUACCUGGAGAAGAAGCACCGGCCAACUACGUGCCAGCAGCCGCGGUAAUACGUAGGGUGCGAGCGUUGUCCGGAAUUACUGGGCGUAAAGAGCUCGUAGGCGGUUUGUCGCGUCGUCUGUGAAAUUCUGCAACUCAAUUGCAGGCGUGCAGGCGAUACGGGCAGACUUGAGUACUACAGGGGAGACUGGAAUUCCUGGUGUAGCGGUGAAAUGCGCAGAUAUCAGGAGGAACACCGGUGGCGAAGGCGGGUCUCUGGGUAGUAACUGACGCUGAGGAGCGAAAGCGUGGGUAGCGAACAGGAUUAGAUACCCUGGUAGUCCACGCCGUAAACGGUGGGUACUAGGUGUGGGUUCCUUUUCACGGGAUCCGUGCCGUAGCUAACGCAUUAAGUACCCCCGCCUGGGGAGUACGGGCCGCAAGGCUAAAAACUCAAAGGAAUUGACGGGGGGCCCCGCACAAGCGGGCGGAGCAUGUGGGAUUUAAUUUCGAUGGCAACGCC
Molecule: ribosomal RNA, 816 nt
Filed under: Gordonia terrae
Lineage: Bacteria; Bacillati; Actinomycetota; Actinomycetes; Mycobacteriales; Gordoniaceae
Description: bacterial SSU rRNA
Rfam family: Bacterial small subunit ribosomal RNA
Source: RNAcentral